Molecule: ribosomal RNA, 253 nt
Filed under: uncultured bacterium
Lineage: Bacteria
Description: partial 16S ribosomal RNA
Rfam family: Bacterial small subunit ribosomal RNA
Source: RNAcentral
UACGAAGGGUGCAAACGUUAUUCGGAAUUACUGGGCUUAAAGAGUUCGUAGGCGGUCCGUCACGUCGGGAGUGAAAACUCAGGGCUCAACCCUGAGCGUGCUUCCGAUACGGGCGGACUAGAGGUAUGCAGGGGAGAACGGAAUUCCUGGUGUAGCGGUGGAAUGCGCAGAUAUCAGGAGGAACACCGGUGGCGAAGGCGGUUCUCUGGGCAUUACCUGACGCUGAGGAGCGAAAGCAUGGGGAGCGAACAGG